UACAGAGGUCUCAAGCGUUGUUCGGAAUUACUGGGCGUAAAGCGUAUGUAGGCGGAUCGUUAAGUCGGGGGUGAAAUCCCGAGGCUCAACCUCGGAACUGCCUUCGAUACUGGCGAUCUCGAGUCCGGGAGAGGUGAGUGGAACUGCGAGUGUAGAGGUGAAAUUCGUAGAUAUUCGCAAGAACACCAGUGGCGAAGGCGGCUCACUGGCCCGGUACUGACGCUGAGGUGCGAAAGCGUGGGGAGCAAACAGG
Molecule: ribosomal RNA, 253 nt
Filed under: uncultured bacterium
Lineage: Bacteria
Description: partial 16S ribosomal RNA
Rfam family: Bacterial small subunit ribosomal RNA
Source: RNAcentral